RNAcentral lists this ribosomal RNA (455 nucleotides) under uncultured marine eukaryote. RNAcentral describes it as "bacterial SSU rRNA". It matches the Rfam family "Eukaryotic small subunit ribosomal RNA", at positions 619 to 1077 of the family's 1831-position model. The record is from RNAcentral.
UUAAAAAGCUCGUAGUUGGAUUUCUGCUUGAGAGGGACGGCAGGCGUCAUUGACGUUUAGUCUGACUUCUCGUGCAUCCUGCCACGAACCACGUUGCUCUUAAUUGAGUGGCGUCGGGGAUUGGCUCGUUUACUUUGAGAAAAAUAGAGUGUUCAAAGCAGGCUUACGCAUCUGAAUAAGUUAGCAUGGAAUAAUGAUAAAGGACUUUGGUUCUAUUUGUUGGUGUUCGGAACUGAAGUAAUGAUUGAUAGGGACAGUUGGGGGCAUCAGUAUUCCGAAGCGAGAGGUGAAAUUCUAGGACCUUCGGAAGACUAACCGCUGCGAAAGCGUUUGCCCAAGGAUGUUCCCUUUGAUCAAGAACGAAAGUUGGGGGAUCGAAGACGAUCAGAUACCGGUCGUAGUCUCAACUAUAAACUAUACCAGCUAGGGAUCGGCCGGCGUUUAUUUCUAAGGGC